This 229-nucleotide ribosomal RNA is filed under the name uncultured bacterium. Its description in RNAcentral is "partial 16S ribosomal RNA". It matches the Rfam family "Bacterial small subunit ribosomal RNA", at positions 568 to 796 of the family's 1533-position model. The record is from RNAcentral.
UCCGUAGGUGGAUAAUUAAGUCAGAGGUGAAAUCCUUCAGCUCAACUGUAGAAUUGCCUUUGAUACUGGUUAUCUUGAGUUAUUAUGAAGUAGUUAGAAUAUGUAGUGUAGCGGUGAAAUGCAUAGAUAUUACAUAGAAUACCAAUUGCGAAGGCAGAUUACUAAUAAUCAACUGACACUGAUGGACGAAAGCGUGGGGAGCGAACAGGAUUAGAUACCCUGGUAGUCC